RNAcentral lists this long non-coding RNA (2248 nucleotides) under Marmota monax (woodchuck). Lineage: Eukaryota; Metazoa; Chordata; Mammalia; Rodentia; Sciuridae. The record is from RNAcentral.
CGAGAACCAGGAGAACAACUUAAAUGAGAAAAAGCAAUCAACUGACCACUAGUGAGAUAAACUGAAUGCUGGAAUUCUCCAUCAUAAAACCAAUUAUAAAUUCUCUUGGAACAAUAGAAAAUACCUACAAAUAUACAGAAUUUAGAGAUAAACGAAAACAUUAAAUUAAAAUGUGCAGUGAUAAGCUUUAAAAACUUCCUGGCCUGAAUACUACAGUGGAAAUGAUAGAAGAUAGACUAAGUAAAUAUGAGGACAGAACAAUAGGAUUUGCUUAAUCUGAGCAGAAAACACAGACCCCCCCCUCCUUCCCUGCAACAAAGAACAAAUGUCAUGGGGCUUAUGAGAUAAUAGCAAAAGACCUAAUAUACUAUCAAAGUCCCUAAAGACGGCUGGGGAUGUGGCUCAGUUGGUAGAGUGCUUGUCUAGCAUACACAAGGCCUUGGGCUCAGUCCCCAGCAACACACACACAGAGUCCCAAAAAAGAAGGGAGCUGAAAGAGUAACUGAAGAGAGAAAUUUCCCAUAUUUGGUAAAAAGAUGUGGAUUCAUGAAGCUGAGUGAAUCCUGAACAGGAUGAAAUCAAAUCCACACCAAGAAAUCAACCUUCUAAGAACAAAACAAGAAAUCUUGAAAGCAGCUGGAACAAAUGGUAUAUUACUUAAUGGGAAACCAUCUUGAAUGACGGUGGGUUUCUCCUCAGAAACCAUGGGGGCCAGAGAAAGUGACAAAUGCUGAAAGUUAGCCAGGCAUGUGGUAACCCUGUAAUCCCAGCUGGUGGGGAUACCCUAUCUCAGAAAAACAAGCAAAACAAAGUAAAUGUCAAUCAUGAAUUAAAUAUCCAGCCCAACUUUUAUUUAUUUAUUUUGGUGGUGCAUGGGGAGUGAACCCAAGGCCUUGUGCAUGCAAAGCAAGCGCUCUACCAACUGAGCUAUAUCCCCAGCCCCCAGCCCAAAUUACUUUCAGAAAAGAAAGUGAAAUAAAAUUCACUCAGAUGAAGUAAAAUUAAAGAAUUUAUUGGGCUGGGGUUGUAGCUCAGUUGGUGGAGCAUUUGCCUUCCAUAUGUGAAGCACUGAGUUCAGUCCCCAGCACCACAUAAAAACAAAUACAUAAAAUAAAUGUAUUGUGUCUGUCUACAACUAAAAAAAUUUUUUUAAAAAGAAUUUGUUACUUGUUUUUGUCCUGUGGUUGUAAGUUUUGUCUACAUCUCCUCUCAGAUCUGUCUGUUAAAGAUUGAGGGAAAUUCUGAUAGAAGAUGCAGACAAAUCUAUAAUCAAAGGACCCAGUUACUGCAUUCCUGGAGAACAAAAUUUUGUUUACAAAAAACACCUUACACCAGUUUUCACAGGAGUCUUAUUCAUACUAGCCAUAAACUGGAAUCAGCCCAACUGUCCCUUCAAUCUGGAGUGAAACACACACAGCUACCCUGGAACACUACAAGCAGCGAACAUGGAAGAGGGGGUGUGUUUAUAGAAGCACAAUACUAGGUAGAGAUCCUUGAUGGGAUAGCACUGUCGUGUCUUUUAAAAUUUUUUUUUUCAGUUGUUGAUGGACCUUUAUUUUAUUCAUUCACUUAUAUGUGGUGCUAAGAAUCAAACCCAGUGCCUCACAUACAUGAGGCCCAUGUUCUACCACUAAGCCACAACCUCAGCCUGUCAAUCUUAUCUUGAUCAUGGUCCUGGAUACACAAACCUACAUGUCUAAAUAUGACACAGAACUAAAUAUCCAUACCAGUGAGUAUAGCUUGCAAAACUUGAAGGAGACAGAUUGAUUGCAAUCAAUGUCUGUAUCCUGAUUGAAAUAUCACAUGCACAUAGUUAUCAAAGAUGUUGCCAUUAUGGAAAACUGGGUAAAGGAUUUUUCUAUUAUUUAUUUAUUUAUCUGCAUGUAAAUCUACAGUCAUUUUCAAUAAAAAUUUCAAUUAAAAAUAUUCAGCACCAAACAAGAUAAAAUGUAUAAUGUAUAGCAUUCAGUAAAAAAUUAUAAGGCAUGAAAAGAAGAAAAAAUAAGGCCCACUUAAUCAGGAAAAAAAAUCAGUCAAUAAAAACAGACCCAGAAAUCAUAAAAAUGGCAAACAAGAUAGAGCAUUAAAAGACUUCAACAAGUGGAAGAAAGGUGGUGCAUAUUUAAGUAAAAAUAGAAAUAUGUAAAGGCAAACUCAACUUACAGAAGAAAACAGUGGAUAUAAUGAAAAAUACACUGGAUGUUUUUAAUAAUAGGUCACAUGUUGCAGAAGAAAACUCACAAACUUG